GUCUUUUAGUUAAUAAUUUAAAGUCUAAUCUGCCCACUGAUAUAAAUAUUGAAGGGCUGCAGUAUAUUGACUGUACAAAGGUAGCAUAAUCAUUAGUUUUUUAAUUGGAAACUUGAAUGAAGGAUUGGAUGAAAUAUAAACUGUCUCUAAUUUAUUAAUAGAAAUUUAUUUUUUAGUUAAAAAGCUAAAAUAAAUUUAAAAGACGAGAAGACCCUAUAGAGUUUUAUAUUAAAAUUUAUUUAUAAAUUAUGUAAAAUUUUUAUUAUUAAAUAGGUUUAUAAUAUUGUGUUGGGGUGACAGAAAAAUUAAAUAAACUUUUUUUAAAAAUUUAACAUAAAUAAAUGAAUGAAUGAUCCAUUAAUAAUGAUUAUAAGAAAAAAUUACCUUAGGGAUAACAGCGUAAUAUUUUUUUUUAGUACGAAUAAAAAAAAAAGUUUGCGACCUCGAUGUUGGAUUAAGAUAAAAUUUAAAUGCAAAAGUUUAAAAUUUUGAUCUGUUCGAUCAUUAAAAUCUU
Molecule: ribosomal RNA, 514 nt
Filed under: Neope muirheadii
Lineage: Eukaryota; Metazoa; Arthropoda; Insecta; Lepidoptera; Nymphalidae
Description: partial 16S ribosomal RNA
Source: RNAcentral